UAUAUUGACAAGUUCACUCCGUGUCCUCAACCCCUAUUCCUAGUCACUGAUCAACUUGACCAGCUUCUUGAAGCCUGCACCCAAAAUUAACUACAAAAUCCCACAAGGAAUAAAUCCCGUCUCACACAGCAACCCCCACCUGACUAACUCCCCACAGCUCAUCAUGAAAUGCCUACAUUUGCACCUACAGCAAAAGUGGGCAGAAGCAAACAUCUACUGCCAGAGGGAUCCUCAGAGAAGUGCAUAAGAAGUUUAUCUGCAGCAUCCUCAACCACACAGAGAUGGCACCUCCUCCAUCUACACAAGAUCUGGAAUAAUGUGCCCUACUUUUAGCAUCAUCAGAUCAAGCUAUAAUUGCUUUCAUCACAUCAAACUCAAGGUUCAAUUCAUCAAACUCAAGUGAAGGAAGAGAAAAUGAAUAGUUAGGAACAACGGAUGAUAGAACAGGGACUGGAACUUCCCAGCAAACCAAGAGGCUAGCACUUGUAGUUGCAGCACUGCCAAGAAAAAGCCUAAAACUUUCAAUAAUAAUGUGUCAUAUGUGAAAAAAAACUUCAACAUCCAAAAAGAACCCCUUACAGCAACUUUCCCAGGAUACAUGGAAUAAACGUGCACAAAGAGCUCAACAAUGGAAAGACUUAUGCACAAGUUUUGAUACGCUUUAUGAGCGAACACAGGUCGACAAAAUAAGCCAAAGAAAGUGCAUAAAAACUGCUCUGUGUAUUCGUGUACAGGCACCUGAGGUAAGUAGUCAAUUGCCCUGAUUUGUCAGGACAUAUGAGAACACCUCCCACCACCCCUCCUGCUUGCUCUUCCUCUAGGUCUCCCACAUCCCCACCUACCUCAGGACUUUGGUCUCCAUUCCCUGGUGAGCCUAGCUUAAAACCCUCCUCACUCGGUUAGUGAGCCUGCCUGCAAAGAUGUUCUUCCCUCUCUUCAUCAGAUGGAUCCCAUCUCUCCCCAGCAAUCCUUUCUCUUGGAAGAGCAUCCAUGGUGAAAUCAGCCAAAUCCCUGCUGGCAACACCACCUGUGCAGCAGGUAUUGAUUUGCAGGAUGCACCUGUUCCUGCCUGGGCCCUUUCCC
This is a long non-coding RNA of Alligator sinensis (Chinese alligator), 1083 nucleotides long. RefSeq lists it as uncharacterized. NCBI's taxonomy places the organism in Eukaryota, Metazoa, Chordata, Crocodylia, Alligatoridae. The record is from RefSeq and is a predicted model, not a curated record. The transcript has 3 exons.